CCUACGGGUGGCUGCAGUGAGGAAUAUUGGUCAAUGGCCGCAACUCUGAACCAGCCAAGUCGCGUGCAGGAUGAAUGCCCUAUGGGUUGUAAACCGCUUUUAUGUGGGGGCAAACUCACCCACGUGUGGCUUAUUGCGAGUACCUGAUGAAAAAGCAUCGGCUAAUUCCGUGCCAGCAGCCGCGGUAAUACGGAGGGUUCGGGCGUUAUCCGGAUUUAUUGGGUUUAAAGGGUGCGUAGGCGGGGUCUUAAGCGAGUGGGGAAAUCCGGGGGGCCAACCGUGGCACUGCGGUGGAAACUGGGGGUCUUGAGUGCGCGAGAGGUAGGCGGAAUGCGUGGUGGAGCGGUGAAAUGCAUAGAUAUCACGAAGAACUCCGAUUGCGAAGGCAGCAUACCGUAGCGUUACUGACGCUGAGGCACGAAGGUGCGGGUAUCGAACAGGAUUAGAUACCCGGGUAGUC
Molecule: ribosomal RNA, 460 nt
Filed under: uncultured bacterium
Lineage: Bacteria
Description: partial 16S ribosomal RNA
Rfam family: Bacterial small subunit ribosomal RNA
Source: RNAcentral